RNAcentral lists this long non-coding RNA (544 nucleotides) under Calidris pugnax (ruff). Its description in RNAcentral is "lncRNA (ENSCPUG00000005198.1)". Lineage: Eukaryota; Metazoa; Chordata; Aves; Charadriiformes; Scolopacidae. The record is from RNAcentral.
UUGUUUAGUUGUGAAAACUGGUGCGAUUCCUCUCUCUGAUGAAGUGGCAAACCCGUCUUCCAGGAUACCAGCUGGCAGGAAAGAAACGUGCUCCUGAGGAGAUGCCGGAGGGUGUAACACAGUAACACAGGGUGACUCCACGUCAUCCUGGGAUGAAGGAGAGCCAGCCUGGAGCUGCAGCCUGUUGAGAUGUCCACUAAGAAAGCUGCCCUUGGGUCUCGCGGUGCUCUGAGCACGCCUCGCCACCGCCGUCUGGUAAAACGGGAGGCAUCUGCCACAAAUGAGAUGGAAUACUGUGAAUAUACAGUUCGUACCUAUGGGACAGCAAUAGGACCUACGUCCAACACCGUUGCAAUGCAUCUCCCAUCCUGUGCGAGCAAACUGCCAUUUCUCAGUGGCAGAAGAGGGAAAAUAAAAGGGCUAUCAAAGGCAACCAACCUAUUUUCAUGGAGCAGAGUACCCUGAGGAUUAGUUUCUCUGUAGUAAUUACGCCUAGAAAUAGGCAUAAAAUAAAAGCCCCUACCAUCCUUUGGUGGUAUUGAGU